UCUUGUGGGGGGCUGAGGGAUGUCCCUUUGGGCUUUUGGGGGGUCUCCGGGGUCUCCCCUGGCUUCAGAUUGGACAGGCAACUGGGUGGAGGAGGACAACCCACCCUACUCCUACUACCUGUACUACAUGUAUGCCAACAUGAGGGUGCUCAAGCACCGCCGGCGAUGCCCACCAUGGCUCUCUGUCAAUCAGUCAGCAUCCCAUCUUCUUCAUCUAGAAGCUUCAGUUCAAGACGUCAAGUCAUUCGCCAGGGUCCAGGGGUCAGCCCCGGGAGACUUGCCUUAUGCGCUAUCCUAAAUGUCUAUCGCCCAGUACCCAUCCCUUUGGGUCAUUUAUUGGUUGGUAAAAUGUUAUCUACUUCUGGUUUCGACCUCCCUUUAAAUGUAACCUUGGCACAUCUCCCGGGGCUCUCAGCAGGAGGCCCCCUGAGGUGCCGGAGCUCCCCAGAGCUCCUGACUAAAACCUUGGGUUAACCCCUGCUAAGAGUCGGCCCUUUACCUUCCACCGAUGUCUCUGGUGUCUCCUCUGCUGCAAAGGCGACUGGCCCAGCUGCCCUCAGCACCCUCGGGGCACGAGAGAGUGUCUCCCCACAGUCGGCUGUGUCGGGGUUGCUCCCCCCGUGUCUGCCGACUUGGGCCUGGCUGGGGGAUCCUGAGAGGGUCCCAGAGGGACAGAGGCAUUUUGGCGCCCAACGCGUGGCACUGAGUCAACCUCCAGAGCUCACGGAUGGGGCUCAGACAUUCUUUCAGACUGCUCAUGAAAGCCUGUGGCCCACACGUUACCUCAGUAAGAACACAGUCAGUUUUAUUGAGUGGGUCUUUCUGUGGAUGAAAACUGGUAGCUCUUGAAGCACCCUCAAGGGUCAGUUUCAGGUGGAAGACAUCAUCCCAGAAACCCCUUCCUUCCCAUUCUACAUCUGGACUGGUAAGUGUAACCUUUUCUUGUUUUCCUCCCCUCUUCGGGAGGAGGGGUGUUUCCCUACCUAUGUUUUUUUAGGCUCACCUGCAGAGCUGAGAGUUUUUUUCUCUAAUUUUGUCAGGCUGCCAGCUGCAGGGAGUUGGUUUUUUUUUUCUAUCCACCCCCCACCUGGGUUGGUGAAAGUUGAGAUACAACUCUUUAAAUCACAGCUAUAAUGGGUGUCUGUUCCAGAUUGCAAGGCAUGAUGCAUUCUAUUACCAUCUGUAUGGCAGUUGUCUGGUGUCAAGUGGGCAAUUCUCCUUAUCUCUCUCCCUGAGUGAUCACAAUCACUCCUCCCUAGGCAGGGGACAUCUGCUGAUAACAGGCUAUUGAAUGACACUGCAUGACUGAUAAGAACUAUAACAUCCCACUGGAAGACGCUCCGCCCAGAGGGAGGAGCCAAGCAUUGCUACCCAGAUAUAAUCUGGAGAUUCUGACACCCCAGCACGGCUUCUGACUGGAUUCCCCAGGGGAGCAGCAGCUGCUUCUACUUCCACAGAUCUGCGGAGGAAGAAUACACCCUUUUUCUACAGGAGCCCCCUGCUCCAACAGAACCACACCUGACACUUGAGGAAGACUGCAGCCACUUUUCCAACUGGACUGCUACCAGCACCCUGACCAACACGGUGUCAGGUUGAGUUCUGACUCUGUCAGUGUUGUUCUAGUGUAUUGCGUUGUUUUAUUUUAUCCUUUUAUGUUUUUCCUUCCUGUUGCAGUGUGUUUUUAUUUUGAAGGUUAUUGUUUGAUUUGUCCUUUUGGGGUUUUUCUCCCCCUGAUUUUGGAGGGACACAGACCUGCCUUUGUUGUUCACUUGAGCCAGGUGUCUUCUCGUUUUGCUACUUAGCUACUUUUCUGCCACAUUUCAAACCCCUUCCUCCCACAUCCAGUUGUUAACCCCUUCCUGUCCCAAGCAGUUUUCCUCCCUUGUAUUUCCUGCCUUGUGUUCCACCCCCAGUGCUUUUGAUUAGUUGAACAUUGUAUCCUCCCUUGAGACCUGCCCCCCUUUAGAGGCUGUUGUUUUCCCCUGCUCAUUUCUUGGGACCCUGAGACGUGGGGAGUUUCCCAUCAGAUGAAGUAACCCAGUGCCACCCCAGGCCCAUGCUGCUGCUGUGGCCUUCUGUUCUGUGCUGCGCCUCCACUGGUAGCUGGGAUUCUGCGGAGCCCCGAAAGAGGGGGACUGUCACCCCCCAAAUGUCACCAACUAGCUGGGACGUGCGACACUCCGUCCUCAUCACUGCAGGGAGGAAGGCAAGGGGUGGGAUAGGGAAUGUUUCCUCAUCACCACCUCGCGCAUGAAGGGAAAGGGGAGCAGGUGACAUGUGUCCCUGUCCACAACACUCCCAGGAGAUGUUUCUUUGUGGCCCAGAUUGGGUUGGACCAGGCUUCUCCCAUCCCGGUGGGGCAUUGCCCCCUCUAUCCUGCAGUCUCCCAUCCCAGUGCUGCUCAUCUGCAUCUGGAGCCGGCAUUCCUGGGAAAACCUGGUGGCGACCAUAAAAACAACAAACUUUUGAGAAAAAAAACCUAACUGAGCAUGAAAAAUAAAAGUAUUUAUGUAAAA
This is a long non-coding RNA of Haemorhous mexicanus (house finch), 2516 nucleotides long. RefSeq lists it as uncharacterized. NCBI's taxonomy places the organism in Eukaryota, Metazoa, Chordata, Aves, Passeriformes, Fringillidae. The transcript has 2 exons. The record is from RefSeq and is a predicted model, not a curated record.